UACGGAGGGGGUUAGCGUUGUUCGGAAUUACUGGGCGUAAAGCGCGCGUAGGCGGAUCAGAAAGUUGGGGGUGAAAUCCCGGGGCUCAACCUCGGAACUGCCUCCAAAACUCCUGGUCUUGAGUUCGAGAGAGGUGAGUGGAAUUCCGAGUGUAGAGGUGAAAUUCGUAGAUAUUCGGAGGAACACCAGUGGCGAAGGCGGCUCACUGGCUCGAUACUGACGCUGAGGUGCGAAAGUGUGGGGAGCAAACAGG
RNAcentral lists this ribosomal RNA (253 nucleotides) under uncultured bacterium. RNAcentral describes it as "partial 16S ribosomal RNA". It matches the Rfam family "Bacterial small subunit ribosomal RNA", at positions 524 to 776 of the family's 1533-position model. The record is from RNAcentral.